GUUAACGCUGGCGGUAGGCCUAACACCUGCAAGUCGAACGGCAGCACAGUAAGAGCUUGCUCUUACGGGUGGCGAGUGGCGGACGGGUGAGGAAUACAUCGGAAUCUACUUUUUCGUGGGGGAUAACGUAGGGAAACUUACGCUAAUACCGCAUACGACCUACGGGUGAAAGCAGGGGAUCUUCGGACCUUGCGCGGUUGAAUGAGCCGAUGUCGGAUUAGCUAGUUGGCGGGGUAAAGGCCCACCAAGGCGACGAUCCGUAGCUGGUCUGAGAGGAUGAUCAGCCACACUGGAACUGAGACACGGUCCAGACUCCUACGGGAGGCAGCAGUGGGGAAUAUUGGACAAUGGGCGCAAGCCUGAUCCAGCCAUACCGCGUGGGUGAAGAAGGCCUUCGGGUUGUAAAGCCCUUUUGUUGGGAAAGAAAAGCAGCAGGUUAAUACCCCGCUGUUCUGACGGUACCCAAAGAAUAAGCACCGGCUAACUUCGUG
RNAcentral lists this ribosomal RNA (491 nucleotides) under uncultured bacterium. RNAcentral's name for it is "partial 16S ribosomal RNA". It matches the Rfam family "Bacterial small subunit ribosomal RNA", at positions 29 to 507 of the family's 1533-position model. The record is from RNAcentral.